GAAUGGGAAGAACAGACAGCUUGCCUAAGUGAGAUGGAAAAGCUUGGGGCCACGCUGCAGGGCCUGGAGCGGGGCGUAGGAAUGGGAAGAUUCUCUCUGUAGCCCUGGCUAUCCUGAAACUCACUCUAUAGACCAGGCUGGGCUCAAACACCCAGAGAUCUGCCUGCCCCUGCCUGCCCCUGCCUGCCCCUGCCUGCCCCUGCCUCCCAAGUGCUGUGAUUAAAUGUGUACACCACACCAGAUGGCCCCAUCACUCUUAAAUCCAGACAUAGAACUCUAAGCUCUGCCUGAACCAUGCCUGCCUGGAUGCAUCCAUGUUCCUGCCUUGAUGAUAAUGGCCUGAACCUCCGGACCUAGACCUCAGCCUCCUCAUCUGGACCCACAGGGUGUGAUGAUCUCCGGUGUUUUCUGUAAGGUCUACCCGGUGCUGUGCAUCCAAAGAUCCACCCUCCUUCAGGGGCUGCUCUUUCCGUCUGCAACCUUACAGCAUCCCAUCAGCGACCCUCAAGCACACAAGCAGUAUCCAGCCACAAGCUCCAGGGCACAACCGGCUUUCAGAGUGCCCAGCCAUGGAGCAGCCCCUUUCCAGGCUCUAUCUCAUCCCUUCGCUCUGUCCGGCUGUAAGCCAGUCAUUACCGUCACCACGCCAACCUCAAAUUCCUAUGAUGUCACAUCACCAGACAGGUCUCAGCUGUCACUUCCAGGUCCUUAGAAGAGGCCACAGAUACCCAGGUCACAAGUACUUCAAGGAUUCUUGGCCGAAGAUAUAACAUUUUAUCCCUUGAGUGGGCACAAGAAUGAGAGAACCCAGCCACCGUGCCCAGUAGCCUGUCUGGCCCAGGGUCCUCUGUGUCCUUGUAUUGAUGUGUCCAUCCAGACAGAUCUUAUCCAUCUUACAGGAGUGGUAGGUAGUGGUUAGCCUCUCUAGGGAGGAGUGCAGAGCCUAGCUCCUCAGUUUUUUGAUUUCUCUCAAGAGAAGUCAUGUGACCUCCCAAUGCAUCCUCCACCACGAUGAGGGGACACGGGUGCCACCCCUUUCUUUGUCCUAACAGUAGAGCAACUGUGCCCGUGAGAAACUCACAGCCCUGCCAACUGCUUCCUGCUCCCCCCCCCAGGCAGUGAAUAUUUUCUUGUGCCUUCUCUUUAUUGGGGUAGGAAGUGCAGACUUCAAGACAGGGUUUCUCUGUGUAGCCCUGGCUGUCGUGGAACUAGGUCUGUAGCCCAGGCUGGCCUUGACCUCAGAUAUCCACCUGCCUCUACCUUCUGAGUACUGGGAUCACAAGCAUGUUCUAGCAUCACCUAGUAUCAUUUACCAAUAAUUUCAUAAUCUUUGGCCUCCUGUUGUAUUUCUCAGCAUGUAUACAUGUGUGUUGCCUGCCAUGCGUGUGUCGUCUGCAUGUGGAGGCCAAAGUGAAUGCUAUGUGACUUCCUGGAUUGCCCAACAUUCUGUUUACUGAGGCAGACUCUGUCUCCAGAGCCAGAGCCUUUGGAAUCUGCUGGCCUAGACAGCCAGCUUGCCCCAGGGAUCCAGUCUCUGCCCAGCAAGUGCUGGGAUUACAGGCAUCCAUCUUCCAGGACUCCGUGGAUUUUUAUGUGGGUGAUUGGAGAUCCUACUCAGGCCUUCAGACUUGCACAGGAAGGCGUUUCGCCACCGAGCCAUCUCCCCAGUCCCCUCCCUCAUAUAAUUUUGAUAUUUAAAAAAAUUCC
RNAcentral lists this long non-coding RNA (1707 nucleotides) under Mus pahari (shrew mouse). RNAcentral describes it as "lncRNA (MGP_PahariEiJ_G0005329.1)". The record is from RNAcentral. Lineage: Eukaryota; Metazoa; Chordata; Mammalia; Rodentia; Muridae.